CCCUUAGAUGUUCUGGGCUGCACGCGCGCUACACUGAGUGGAUCAGCGGGUCAGGUUGCGCGAAAGUGUUUCCUAAUCUUGAAAUCCGCUCGUGAUGGGGAUUGACGGUUGCAAUUUUCCGUCAUGAACGAGGAAUACCUUGUAAGCGCGGGUCAUCAUCCCGCGCUGAAUACGUCCCUGCCCUUUGUACACACCGCCCGUCGCUCCUACCGAUUGAGUGGUCCGGUGAGGCUUUGGGAUCUGAGCGGAAAGAGCGUUUCGCUGUUUCUGCUCGGAAAACUCAGUCGAACCUUAUCAUUUAGAGGAAGGAGAAGUCGUAACA
Molecule: ribosomal RNA, 322 nt
Filed under: uncultured eukaryote
Lineage: Eukaryota
Description: partial 18S ribosomal RNA
Rfam family: Eukaryotic small subunit ribosomal RNA
Source: RNAcentral